Molecule: long non-coding RNA, 1523 nt
Organism: Oncorhynchus tshawytscha (Chinook salmon)
Lineage: Eukaryota; Metazoa; Chordata; Actinopteri; Salmoniformes; Salmonidae
Source: Ensembl
AGAGACAAUUAAUCACUUACCUUUGAUGAUCUUCAUAUGGUUGCACUCAGAAGACAUUAAUUUAUUCAAUAAAUGUUCCUUUUGUUCGAUCAAGUUUCUCUUUAUAUCCGAAAACCUCCGUUUUGUUUGCGCGUUUUCUUCAGUAAUCCACAGCCUCAAACGCAGUCACAACAGGCAGACGACAAAUCCAAAUUCUAUCCGUAAAGUUCAUAGAAACAUGUCAAAUGAUGUUUAUAUUCAAUCCUCAGGUUGUUUUUAGCCUAAAUAAUCGAUAAUAUUUCAACCGGACAAUAACGUCGUCAAUAUAAAAGGUAAACAAGAAAGGCACUCUCUCGGUCGCACGCAUGAAAAAGCUCUUUGACACAGCAGGGUCCACUCAUUCAGACUGCUCUUACUCCCUCAUUUUUCAGAAUACAAGCCUGAAACAAUUUUUAAAGACUGUUGACAUCUACUGGAAGGCAUAGGAACUGCAAUUUGAGUCCUAAGUCAAUGGAUACUGUAAUGGCAUUGAAUAGAAAACUACAUAACAAAAACAAAAAAUACUUCCUGAAUGGAUUUAUAUUUAUAGUAUAACAGAACUCAUAUGGCAGGCAAAAACCUGAGAAAAAUUCAACCAGGAAGUGGGAAAUCUGAGGUUUAUAGUUUUUCAAGCGAUUGCCUAUCCAAUAUCCAGUGUAAAUGGGGUCAGAUUGCACUUUCUAAGGCUUCCACUAGAUGUCAACAGUCUUUAGAACGUUGUUUCAGGCUUAUAUUGUGAAAGGGUGGCGAAUAAGAGCUGUUUCAACCAGGGGUCUGGUUGAAAGCCUUUAGUUUAGUCACGCACGGCCGAGUUGUCCGGUUGGAAUAUUAUUGAAGAUUUAUGAUAAAAACAUCCUAAGGAUUGAUUAUAUACAUCGUUUGACAUGUUUCUACGAACUGUAAUGGAACUUUUGUGACUUUGUCUGUACUUAGUGCCCGCGCCUUGUGCAUUUGAAUUACUGGACUAAACACGCAAACAAAAAGGAGGUAUUUGGACAUAAAUGUUGGACUUUAUAAAACAAAACAAACAUUUAUUGUGGAACUGGGAUUCCUGGGAGUGCAUUCGGAUGAAGAUCAUCAAAGGUAAGUGAAUAUUUAUAAUGCUAUUUCUGACUUUUGUUGACUCCACAACAUGGCGGGUAUCUGUAUGGCUUGUUUUGGUGGCUGAGCGCUGUACUCAGAUUAUCGCAUGAUGUGCUUUCGGCGAAAAGCUUUUUUGAAAUCUGACACAGUGGUUGCAUUAAGGAGAAGUUUCUUUAAAACUAUGCAUAACACUUGUAUUUUCAUCAACGUUUAUGAUGAGUAUUUCUGUAAAUUGAUGUGGCUCUCUGCAAAAUCACCGGAUGUUUUGGAGGCAAAACAUUACUGAACAUAACGUGCCAAUGUAAACUGAGAUUUUUGUAUAUAAAUAUGAACUUUAUCGAACAAAACAUACAUGAAGUCCUAUGAGUGCCAUCUGAUGAUCAUCAUCAAAGGUUAGGGAUUAAUUUUAUCUCUAUUUUUGC